AACGAACGCUGGCGGCAUGCCUAACACAUGCAAGUCGAACGAGACCUUCGGGUCUAGUGGCGCACGGGUGCGUAACGCGUGGGAACCUGCCCUUAGGUUCGGAAUAACUCCCCGAAAGGGGCGCUAAUACCGGAUAAUGUCUUCGGACCAAAGAUUUAUCGCCUUUGGAUGGGCCCGCGUUGGAUUAGCCAGUUGGUAGGGUAAAAGCCUACCAAGGCGACGAUCCAUAGCUGGUCUGAGAGGAUGAUCAGCCACACUGGGACUGAGACACGGCCCAGACUGCUACGGGAGGCAGCAGUGGGGAAUAUUGGGGGAUGGGCGAAAGCCUGAUCCAGCAGUGCCGGGUGAGUGAUGAAGGCCUUAGGGUUGUAAAGCUCUUUUACCCGGGAUGAUAAUGACAGUACCGGGAGAAUAAGCUCCGGCUAACUCCGUG
RNAcentral lists this ribosomal RNA (433 nucleotides) under uncultured bacterium. RNAcentral describes it as "partial 16S ribosomal RNA". It matches the Rfam family "Bacterial small subunit ribosomal RNA", at positions 29 to 507 of the family's 1533-position model. The record is from RNAcentral.